This 447-nucleotide ribosomal RNA is filed under the name uncultured bacterium. RNAcentral describes it as "partial 16S ribosomal RNA". It matches the Rfam family "Bacterial small subunit ribosomal RNA", at positions 30 to 523 of the family's 1533-position model. The record is from RNAcentral.
AUUGAACGCUGGCGGCAUGCCUAACACAUGCAAGUCGAGCGCGCCGCAAGGGGAGCGGCAGACGGGUGAGUAACGCGUGGGAAUCUACCCAUCUCUACGGAAUAACGCAUGGAAACGUGUGCUAAUACCGUAUACGUCCUUCGGGAGAAAGAUUUAUCGGAGAUGGAUGAGCCCGCGUUGGAUUAGCUAGUUGGUGGGGUAAAGGCCUACCAAGGCGACGAUCCAUAGCUGGUCUGAGAGGAUGAUCAGCCACACUGGGACUGAGACACGGCCCAGACUCCUACGGGAGGCAGCAGUGGGGAAUAUUGGACAAUGGGCGCAAGCCUGAUCCAGCCAUGCCGCGUGAGUGAUGAAGGCCCUAGGGUUGUAAAGCUCUUUCACCGGUGAAGAUAAUGACGGUAACCGGAGAAGAAGCCCCGGCUAACUUCGUGCCAGCCGCCGCCGUAA